CUGCACUGUUCAUAACCUGGUUCAGCUUCAGUGUGAACUUGGGUUCCAUUCCAGUGCUAGAGUAAAGUCCCGUGAGGCAGGGGAGCAGUGCACGCUCAUGCUACUGUUCCCCGUUCACUCUCAGGAAACAUUU
This is a small nucleolar RNA of Entelurus aequoreus (snake pipefish), 133 nucleotides long. Lineage: Eukaryota; Metazoa; Chordata; Actinopteri; Syngnathiformes; Syngnathidae. The record is from RefSeq and is a predicted model, not a curated record.